ACGUGGGCCCUUUCCCCGGUUCGGGGGACAGGGUGACAGGUGGUGCAUUGGUUGUCGUCAGCUCGUGUCGUGAGAUGUUGGGUUAAGUCCCGCAACGAGCGCAACCCCUAUCUCUAGUUGCCAGCAAUUCGGGUCGGGGACUCUAGAGAUACUGCCCCCGGUUUAACGGGGAGGAAGGUGGGGAUGACGUCAAGUCCUCAUGGCCCUUAUGCCCAGGGCUACACACGUACUACAAUGGGCGGUACAAAGGGUAGCGAUGCCGCGAGGUGAAGCCAAUCCCAAAAAGCCGUCCACAGUUCGGAUUGGAGUCUGCAACUCGACUCCAUGAAGCCGGAAUCGCUAGUAAUCGUGGAUCAGCAUGCCACGGUGAAUACGUUCCCGGGCCUU
This 387-nucleotide ribosomal RNA is filed under the name uncultured Desulfobacterium sp. RNAcentral describes it as "bacterial SSU rRNA". It matches the Rfam family "Bacterial small subunit ribosomal RNA", at positions 1004 to 1382 of the family's 1533-position model. The record is from RNAcentral. Lineage: Bacteria; Pseudomonadati; Thermodesulfobacteriota; Desulfobacteria; Desulfobacterales; Desulfobacteriaceae.